AACACAGUCUCUCCGAUCAUGGUAAUAAAAUGGGUUUAAGAUUAUUGAUGGUCUACGACUGAACUUGAAGAUUGUUGAUGUUAAGGGCACCGAGUCUAAUUAGUAUAUAUAAGAUGAAAAUUCAUCUCUCGUCUUAACAGAACAGAGCAAUGUUUGGAAGACUGGCCAUCUUGGCACACUCCAACUCUUGUCCAGUUAGCAGUGAACAAAUCUGUCAAUGAAAACCUAUGAAAGGGAAGGCUACCUUUUUGUUUCUGCCUACUGCUUCACCUUGGGUCUUCUUUGGGCAGAAGUUACCAAACUGUACUAAAUUAUACCGAGCUGUGGCGGUCUGGAGAUAAGAGCAGACUAAAUGAAGUGCUGGAGAACGCACAGAGCCAGGAAGAGCCUUGUGCUUCCUGUGGCCUUCCUGCCCUCAGGAACCCUUCUGCAGAGCCGUUCCCUCUGGGCCCUGAUAACCAGAGAGCAAAGAUGUCCAGAAGAAAAAGCAAAGAAAACAGAAGAGCAAAAUCAAUAGGGAGCGAAUCUGAUUUUCAGCCAGAUGCCUGCCACUGGGCACGCAAUCCCUGUCUGCCCCGUCCUCCCUUCUGAUCAGGUAAAUUAAUCUCUUGAGAAGCUGGUCUAAACAAACAAACACGUUUCGUACUGGAAAAGCAAACGUGAGAUGCAUCGCUGUCGCUGGGCGGGAAGAGGGAGGGUGCUUGGAAAGAUCUGGAGAGUUGGGAAGAUGGGCUGAAGUCCAGAGGUUUGUGGUUGAAAGUGGAUAAACGCGAGGCAUUUCUCUCAAGGGGCAGAGAAGAAGAAUAACAAGCAGAAAUAAAAUACAGGAGAGCAGGACGGAGAGCA
Numida meleagris (helmeted guineafowl) is the source of this 846-nucleotide long non-coding RNA. The record is from Ensembl. NCBI's taxonomy places the organism in Eukaryota, Metazoa, Chordata, Aves, Galliformes, Numididae.